RNAcentral lists this ribosomal RNA (292 nucleotides) under uncultured bacterium. RNAcentral's name for it is "partial 16S ribosomal RNA". RNAcentral also lists the same sequence under 2 other names. The record is from RNAcentral.
GGACUACUCGGGUAUCUAAUCCCGUUUGCUCCCCUGGCUUUCGCGCAUCAGCGUCAGAAAGGGUCCAGCGCCUCGCCUUCGCCACCGGAGUUCCGCUGGAUAUCAACGCAUUUCACCGCUCCACCCAGCGUUCCAGACGCCCCUACCCUCCUCAAGACUCGCAGUAUCCACGGCACUUCCCCGGUUGAGCCGGGGGCUUUCACCACAGACUGGCGAGCCCGCCUACGCGCCCUUUAAGCCCAGUGAAUCCGAACAACGUUCGCACGGUUCGUCUUACCGCGGCUGCUGGCAC